Molecule: transfer RNA, 72 nt
Filed under: Coprinellus micaceus
Lineage: Eukaryota; Fungi; Basidiomycota; Agaricomycetes; Agaricales; Psathyrellaceae
Rfam family: tRNA
About the family: Transfer RNA (tRNA) molecules are approximately 80 nucleotides in length. Their secondary structure includes four short double-helical elements and three loops (D, anti-codon, and T loops).
Source: Rfam by way of RNAcentral
UCCGAUAUGGUGUAGUGGCUAACAUUAUCGCCUCUCACGCGAUAGCCCGGGGUUCGAUUCCCCAUGUCGGAA